This 582-nucleotide ribosomal RNA is filed under the name Triticum aestivum (bread wheat). Its description in RNAcentral is "partial small subunit ribosomal RNA". The record is from RNAcentral. Lineage: Eukaryota; Viridiplantae; Streptophyta; Magnoliopsida; Poales; Poaceae.
AUGUGGACCCGUCUUCGUCAGCGCUAUCAGCCCUCUGGUGAUGCCUUAUACCUUUCUGUGGUCCGUCAGGAGCAUGCUCUUCAGCAGGGUGACUCUACUGUUGAUGACUUCUAUGCACAGAGUUCUGCUAUCUGGCGCCAGCUUGAUUCUCUCCAUAGUGCUGGUUGUCGUACCUGCCCCUGUUGCCAGGCUGUCCAGGCCAAUUUGGAGUUUCAUCACGUCUAUGAGUUCCUGUCUCGGCUCCGUAAGGAGUUUGAGCCCCAGCGUGCUCAGUUGUUUGCUCGUGGCCGUAUUUCUCUCAUGGAGGCGCUUUCUGAGAUUCGUGUUGAGGAGACUCGCUUACGUGGUGCUGGUUUGCUGGAGGUUCCCUCUGUGCUCGCUACUCGUGCUCCUACGCCACCUGUUGCACCGACCCCUUCUCGCUCGAGUGCUCCGCCGCUCUUGCCCACUCCUUCUGGAGGCUCAGGUCGCCCCCGUCCACAUUGCGACUACCGCAACAAUGAUGGUCAUCUUGAGUCUCAGUGCUACACGAAGAAGAAACACCUGCGCAAGGCGCGAUCAUCAUCUUCAGGGACUUCGUCA